GAUGAACGCUAGCGAUAGGCCUAACACAUGCAAGUCGAGGGGCAUCACAUGAAGUAGCAAUACGGAUGGUGGCGACCGGCGCACGGGUGAGUAACACGUAUGCAACCUGCUUUCAACAAGGGGAUAACCCGUUGAAAGACGGACUAAUACCCUAUAACACAGGGGUCCCGCAUGGGAAUAUUUGUUAAAGGACAACCGGUUGAAGAUGGGCAUGCGUUCCAUUAGCUAGUUGGCGGGGUAACGGCCCACCAAGGCAACGAUGGAUAGGGGAACUGAGAGGUUUAUCCCCCACACUGGUACUGAGACACGGACCAGACUCCUACGGGAGGCAGCAGUGAGGAAUAUUGGUCAAUGGACGCAAGUCUGAACCAGCCACGUCGCGUGAAGGAAGACGGCCCUACGGGUUGUAAACUUCUUUUAUACGGGGAAUAAAGUGCCCCACGCGUGGGGUUUUGCAUGUACCGUAUGAAUAAGGAUCGGCUAACUCCGUGCCAGCAGCCGCGGUAAUUACUGACUC
RNAcentral lists this ribosomal RNA (517 nucleotides) under uncultured bacterium. Its description in RNAcentral is "bacterial SSU rRNA". It matches the Rfam family "Bacterial small subunit ribosomal RNA", at positions 28 to 534 of the family's 1533-position model. The record is from RNAcentral.